CCUAAUCAUUAGAAAGUAUCAUUUGACUUCUGCUGUACGUGAUGGGCAUCCAACUGUUUGGUGUUGUGCUGAUCUUCUUGUCUGUAGGGCUGAAUAUACAGACAGCAGAGAGCUGCCGCUGUUCACUCAGUCACCCCCAAAAUCAAUUUUGCACUUCUGAAAUAGUGUCACGGAACAGAAAGACUCAGAUGCAGGAUCGAGCAAAAAAAGGAUAACAGAAAAACAACAGAGCACUCCGAGUGUCUGCCUUAGCUAACAGUAGACCGAGGGUAAAGCCGAAGCACAUCCGACCAGCAGCCCUCAAGUGAUUUUAGCUAACGUAACCGGAGGGAGGAUUCCUGUUAGGAAUCAUAUCAACUUGGUUCGGUAUAGAAUCGAAAUAAUCAAGAUACAUCAACGUGUGGCAUCAAACUGGCUUAUGGGCAAUACGUGCUUACAGGGAACCGGUUUGAAGGUGGGAUCAAGGUGAUGAUGUGUGGCCUUGUCAAGAAAUGGGAUUACCUCUCCUUAAAGGAAAAGGAAAACUUCAAACAAACGUAUAUGAUGGGCUGUAACUGCACGAUCUCUAGGUGUUCUUGCAGUCCAUGUUGUCCCCAAUCUGUGAAUGAAUGUAAGUGGGAUGCCAAAUCUCCUCAGUCUCUGGAGUACGUCUGUCUGAGGGACAGUGACGGCAUCUGUAGCUGGUACAUACCACGUUCAAAAGUUGAUGAAGAUGCAAUGUGCGAAGUAGAGAUCCUCGGAUCCACCAUGCAUAAGCCUAGAUUUGAAAUCUGAUAUAGA
Triplophysa dalaica is the source of this 780-nucleotide long non-coding RNA. RefSeq lists it as uncharacterized. The transcript is spliced from 6 exons. NCBI's taxonomy places the organism in Eukaryota, Metazoa, Chordata, Actinopteri, Cypriniformes, Nemacheilidae. The record is from RefSeq and is a predicted model, not a curated record.